UACGUAGGUGGCAAGCGUUGUCCGGAUUUACUGGGCGUAAAGAGCGCGCAGGCGGUCGUUCAAGUCGCGUGUGAAAGCCCCCGGCUCAACUGGGGAGGGUCACGCGAUACUGAUCGACUCGAAGGCAGGAGAGGGUAGUGGAAUUCCCGGUGUAGUGGUGAAAUGCGUAGAUAUGGGAGGAACACCAGUGGCGAAGGCGACUACCUGGCCUGUUCUUGACGCUGAGGCGCGAAAGCUAGGGGAGCAAACGGG
Molecule: ribosomal RNA, 252 nt
Filed under: uncultured bacterium
Lineage: Bacteria
Description: partial 16S ribosomal RNA
Rfam family: Bacterial small subunit ribosomal RNA
Source: RNAcentral